GACACACUCUUCCUAUGUCUAACUAAUUCAAGUACCCAUUUUUCAUUAGUUUUGACUUGCAGGUUAUCUAAAUGGACUCCCCACAGGGAACAGCAGUCACACUGCAAAAAGAUUUAUUUUUGGGGUUUUUGCCAUUUGGUAACUGGACUAACAAACAGAUUUUAUGUUUUAUUGAAAUAAUUCCUACAUCAUUAUUAAGUUUUGAUUUGCUUAGGAAAACUGAGAUUAAUUUUGUUUUUAAUUAAGGCUAUUACCUACAUGUAACUUUCUGUAUUACUUUUAAAAUCCUUGUGCUAUUGAGUUCUAUAGAUUAAACAUUAAUAAUCAAAGAAACACCGAUGCAAGACCAGCAUCUGGGCCCCUGUGUCAGAUUGACAAGGUUUUUCUUGGAGCAUUAACCUACUCUUUAAAAAAUUAGAAAAAGUUAUAAAAAGGUUUAGGGAAGUUAAAUCUUAUGGUCAAGAUGAUUAAAAUUUAAUAGAUUUGUUUAUAAGACUUCAGGCAGAUUUAAUUGGCCUCAUGCUUUCUUUAUUAGUACUUAUUGUUUGGGAAAUUCUUUAAAAAAAAUAUUUCAGUUAUCACUUUGGCUGAAUGAAUGACUUAUUUUACAAUUUCCUGUGAUCCCAUUUAUGAUAUCAAGUGUCAAAAUCAAGUUCUAAAUUCAGUCCUUUGACCUUUUAAUUUUUUGAUAUUUUCUCAUCUUUCCUCUGCUUCCUUUCUCUGUCCUUCACCUAUUUUUUCUUUGUAGAAUAUAAGACUUCAUAACUGGCUAAAAAUGAGUUUUCCUAACAACGUGGGACCUUACCCCUCUAGGAAUGGGCCAUCCCAAUCGUGAGAGAUCAGACAAAUCCUGAGAUCAGAGACUCAUUUUCUUCUAAAAUGCAUUUUCUGAAAGAGUUUAAAAGAAAAAAUAGGGAGGUUUGGUCCAAUGGUAGUGGGUUAUCAGAACUUAUUAACACUAGUGUCACUAAAGUUGGUAUAUGACCCCCCCACUGCUAAAUUUGACUGGCUUUUUAAAAAGUGGCGGUGAGAAUUGUGAAAAGAAAAUAAAUUUACUAUGCCAAAGGAAAAAUAUUAAGCUGAAAGCUGAGUCAUGCAAGCAACUACCUUUCCUUUUGUUCCUAAGUAGAUAACUACAGAUAAAAGGUUAAAUAUUUCCACAGGUAGCUACUUUAUGUUCAUCUUAUCUUAUGUAACGUGUCAAUUUACUGAGUGUGACACCAAUACAUAAUUGACUAUUCCCUUGCUUGCUCCUUUUCUCUUGCAAUAUGUGGAUUACCAUACUCUCCCUCUUUCCUCUCUAUCCCACUUUUCUCCUUUAAAUGUUGAAGCCCUGAAAGUCAUCUUUGGAGAAAGGCACAGACUUGUUUCCCAAGCACAUCAUUCACCUUGGCAAAAUAAGCUUCUAAAUUCAUUGAGAGCUUUAUCAGAUACUUUUUCGUUCAUACUUGCUCUU
This 1456-nucleotide long non-coding RNA is filed under the name Homo sapiens (human). Its description in RNAcentral is "non-protein coding lnc-ZNF133-3:1". The stretch from base 919 to 1015 matches the Rfam family "Y RNA". The record is from RNAcentral. Lineage: Eukaryota; Metazoa; Chordata; Mammalia; Primates; Hominidae.